This 351-nucleotide ribosomal RNA is filed under the name Triticum aestivum (bread wheat). Its description in RNAcentral is "partial small subunit ribosomal RNA". Lineage: Eukaryota; Viridiplantae; Streptophyta; Magnoliopsida; Poales; Poaceae. The record is from RNAcentral.
AUGCGCGCCGCCCGCCUCGGCCUCGUCGGCGACAGACGCGCCGCCGCUCAUCGACGACGGCGUCACGCCCGGCGAGCCAUAGCCAUGUCCUCUCCCUCAGCCCACUCAAACCCUAGCUUCCCGUCGCCGGAGGCGGCGCCCUCCUUCCCGAGCCACGCCUUCAUCCUCUCCUCUCCUACAAUCCCAAACCCGGCCCCACCACCGAUCUCCACUCGCCCAACCCCAGCCCCAGCCCCGCUGGCGACCUCCUCCCCCACUCCUCAAUUCCCCGACGACGUCGUCUCCUUCAUAUCCGCCGUCGACCUCUGCCUUCUAGUCCACCCUCUCCUUCUCUCCAUGCCAAAACCAUAG